This 519-nucleotide ribosomal RNA is filed under the name Rhizobium sp. pp2.17. RNAcentral describes it as "bacterial LSU rRNA". It matches the Rfam family "Bacterial large subunit ribosomal RNA", at positions 61 to 491 of the family's 2925-position model. The record is from RNAcentral. Lineage: Bacteria; Pseudomonadati; Pseudomonadota; Alphaproteobacteria; Hyphomicrobiales; Rhizobiaceae.
AUACGCUGCGAAAAGCCGUGGGGAGCUGCGAAUAAGCUUUGAUCCAUGGAUCUCCGAAUGGGGCAACCCACCUUAAAUGCUUGGAAAAUCAUUCUGGUUGGCUGGAGGCUUGUGUGGGAGUUCCCAUACAGGGUGAAAGCCCGUCGGCGCUGAUGCGCCGCGCCGUCCGCGGGCCUUUGGGCGUGAGGACAGAACCCGAGUGGUUUCCAAGCAUUGUGAUAAGGUAUCUGCACCUGAAUAAACUAGGGUGUAAGAAGCGAACGCAGGGAACUGAAACAUCUAAGUACCUGCAGGAAAGGACAUCAACCGAGACUCCGCAAGUAGUGGCGAGCGAACGCGGACCAGGCCAGUGGCAAUUGUUGUUAAAGCGGAACAAUCUGGAAAGUUUGGCCGUAGCGGGUGACAGCCCCGUACGCGUAGAUACAGCGAUUGUCCUAGAGUAGGGCGGGACACGAGAAAUCCUGUCUGAACAUGGGGAGACCACUCUCCAAGCCUAAGUACUCGUGCAUGACCGAUAGC